CGGGGUCCUUCACAAACUGUUUGUGUGAUCACACCAAACACUCAGCUGUAACUCUCCAAAACAAUCCAAGAAAGUAUGUGUCAAUGAAAAUGUAGCCUUCCACAAGCUUCCCACAAUAAGUUGGGUGAAUUUUGGACCAUUCCUCCUGACAGAGCUGGUGUAACUGAUUCAGAUGAAUGUGGUCCCUUCAGGCGUUUGGAAAUUGUUCCCAAGGAUGAACCAGACUUGUGGAGGUGUACAUUUUUCUUCUGAGGUCUUGGCUGAUUUCUUUUGAUUUUCCCACAAUGUCUAGCAAAGAGGCACUGAGUUUGAAGGGAGACAGACAUACAUACAUCAUUGGAGGCUCCUCAAAGGGGGAAGGGGGAGGGUCAUCCCCCUCAGUGAAUUUCAUAAAUAUUAAAAAAUGGACAAUUUUAAGUUAUCCUUUUAAGAUGAAACUAUACUAAAUAUAAUCACAUCACCAAAUAAUUGAUUAAAACACAUCAUUUCUCAAUGAAGGUGUAAAGUAGCCUCAACAGCACUCUGUAGGGUAGCACAAGUGUGUAGCCAGAGGACCCGCUAGCUUCCGUCCUCCUCUCGGUACAUUGACUUCCAUACAAAACCUAGCAGGUUCAUGGUUGUCACCCCCUUCCAUAGUCUUACACAGUAAUUAUGAAC
Long non-coding RNA from Oncorhynchus tshawytscha (Chinook salmon), 657 nucleotides. Lineage: Eukaryota; Metazoa; Chordata; Actinopteri; Salmoniformes; Salmonidae. The record is from Ensembl.